This is a non-coding RNA of Ustilago trichophora, 106 nucleotides long. The record is from the annotation of a GenBank genome assembly. NCBI's taxonomy places the organism in Eukaryota, Fungi, Basidiomycota, Ustilaginomycetes, Ustilaginales, Ustilaginaceae.
GCGCUCUUGGCGUAGUGGUAGCGCGUGUCUCUCCUACUAUUUGUCUCUCCAAGAGCGUAGGAUCACUUCCAAGACGAGGUCGUGGGUUCGACCCCCACAGGGCGCU